RNAcentral lists this ribosomal RNA (484 nucleotides) under uncultured bacterium. RNAcentral describes it as "partial 16S ribosomal RNA". It matches the Rfam family "Bacterial small subunit ribosomal RNA", at positions 30 to 507 of the family's 1533-position model. The record is from RNAcentral.
AUUGAACGCUGGCGGCAGGCCUAACACAUGCAAGUCGAGCGGAUGAAGGGAGCUUGCUCCUGGAUUCAGCGGCGGACGGGUGAGUAAUGCCUAGGAAUCUGCCUGGUAGUGGGGGAUAACGUCCGGAAACGGGCGCUAAUACCGCAUACGUCCUGAGGGAGAUAGUGGGGGAUCUUCGGACCUCACGCUAUCAGAUGAGUCUAGGUCGGAUUAGCUAGUUGGUGGGGUAAAGGCCUACCAAGGCGACGAUCCGUAACUGGUCUGAGUGGAUGAUCAGUCACACUAGAACUGAGACACGGUCCAGACUCCUACGGGAGGCAGCAGUGGGGAAUAUUGGGCAAUGGGCGAAAGCCUGAUCCAGCCAUGCCGCGUGUGUGGAGAAGGUCUUCGGAUUGUAAAGCACUUUAAGUUGGGAGGAAGGGCAGUAAGUUAAUACCUUGCUGUUUUGACGUUACCAACAGAAUAAGCACCGGCUAACUUCGUG